This 465-nucleotide ribosomal RNA is filed under the name Vreelandella stevensii. Its description in RNAcentral is "partial 16S ribosomal RNA". It matches the Rfam family "Bacterial small subunit ribosomal RNA", at positions 338 to 795 of the family's 1533-position model. The record is from RNAcentral. Lineage: Bacteria; Pseudomonadati; Pseudomonadota; Gammaproteobacteria; Oceanospirillales; Halomonadaceae.
CCUACGGGGGGCUGCAGUGGGGAAUAUUGGACAAUGGGGGGAACCCUGAUCCAGCCAUGCCGCGUGUGUGAAGAAGGCCCUCGGGUUGUAAAGCACUUUCAGUGAGGAAGAACGCCUGGUGGUUAAUACCCAUCAGGAAAGACAUCACUCACAGAAGAAGCACCGGCUAACUCCGUGCCAGCAGCCGCGGUAAUACGGAGGGUGCGAGCGUUAAUCGGAAUUACUGGGCGUAAAGCGCGCGUAGGUGGCUUGAUAAGCCGGUUGUGAAAGCCCCGGGCUCAACCUGGGAACGGCAUCCGGAAGUGUCAAGGGAGAGUGCAGGAGAGGAAGGUAGAAUUCCCGGUGUAGGGGUGAAAUGCGUAGAGAUCGGGAGGAAGACCAGUGGCGAAGGAGGCCUUCGGGACUGACACUGACAAUGAGGUGCGAAAGCGUGGGUAGCAAACAGGAUUAGAUACCCUAGUAGUC